This 848-nucleotide ribosomal RNA is filed under the name bacterium. RNAcentral's name for it is "bacterial SSU rRNA". It matches the Rfam family "Bacterial small subunit ribosomal RNA", at positions 40 to 870 of the family's 1533-position model. The record is from RNAcentral.
CGGCGUGCCUAAUACAUGCAAGUCGAGCGAACAGAAGGGAGCUUGCUCCCGGAUGUUAGCGGCGGACGGGUGAGUAACACGUGGGUAACCUGCCUGUAAGACUGGGAUAACUCCGGGAAACCGGAGCUAAUACCGGAUAGUUCCUUGAACCGCAUGGUUCAAGGAUGAAAGACGGUUUCGGCUGUCACUUACAGAUGGACCCGCGGCGCAUUAGCUAGUUGGUGGGGUAAUGGCUCACCAAGGCGACGAUGCGUAGCCGACCUGAGAGGGUGAUCGGCCACACUGGGACUGAGACACGGCCCAGACUCCUACGGGAGGCAGCAGUAGGGAAUCUUCCGCAAUGGACGAAAGUCUGACGGAGCAACGCCGCGUGAGUGAUGAAGGUUUUCGGAUCGUAAAGCUCUGUUGUUAGGGAAGAACAAGUGCGAGAGUAACUGCUCGCACCUUGACGGUACCUAACCAGAAAGCCACGGCUAACUACGUGCCAGCAGCCGCGGUAAUACGUAGGUGGCAAGCGUUGUCCGGAAUUAUUGGGCGUAAAGGGCUCGCAGGCGGUUUCUUAAGUCUGAUGUGAAAGCCCCCGGCUCAACCGGGGAGGGUCAUUGGAAACUGGGAAACUUGAGUGCAGAAGAGGAGAGUGGAAUUCCACGUGUAGCGGUGAAAUGCGUAGAGAUGUGGAGGAACACCAGUGGCGAAGGCGACUCUCUGGUCUGUAACUGACGCUGAGGAGCGAAAGCGUGGGGAGCGAACAGGAUUAGAUACCCUGGUAGUCCACGCCGUAAACGAUGAGUGCUAAGUGUUAGGGGGUUUCCGCCCCUUAGUGCUGCAGCUAACGCAUUAAGCACUCC